GUAUUAAUUUGUAUUUAAGUGUAUUGAACAAGAUAAAGUAAAUAUAUGAGUGCGACGCGGUCGGGUCGGGCGGUGUUAUGUGUCCGAUUUCUUAUUUGUACACUAUUGGUAUUUAUAAUUGAUGGAGCAAGCAGAAACUGAUUGAGCACACAGUGUGUCAGCCGAAUUCGAGAGAACGACUGACAAUUCAUGGACUGGAGACGUGUGUGCCGGCCUUAACAGAUGCUGGCAGAAUGCGCGCCCGGUGCAUCGAUGACAGACUGUUUAAUCAAACCAUGAACUUUCAUUAUUUAUUAAAGAUUCCGUUUUCUUUUUGCCUUCGGUGCAAUGAUUUGUAUGAUCUAAAGGAACGUGGUUCUAAUUGAGCAAACGCGUACCGUACGCCAUUACCAUAAAAUACGAUAGUAACCUUUUCAUUGAGUGUUCUGAAGCCAAUAUUUUAAUUCAACAGUUAAUUAUGAAUGACUGCUGGAUUUUUUAAUAUUACCUGCGUAAUCAGUGGUGUGACGUCAUAGAUACGAAAAUUAAUUGGCUAUACUGAGUGCAUUACGAACUUGGGUUAGAGAAGGAAUUUUAUAUUUUGUCCGCGUCCGCUAGUACUGAAUUUAACCCAGUGACAACCCAGUAAAGCCUUGAUAGCCCCGUGGAUAUGACCUCUGCCUUCGAUUUGGAGGGCGUAGGUUCGAAUCCGGUCCGGGGCAUGCUCCUCCAACUUUUCAAUUACGUGCAUUUUAAGAAAUUAAAUAUCACGUGUCUCAAAAGCUGAAGGAAAAACAUCAUAAGGAAACCUGCAUACCUGAGAAUUUUCUUAAUUCUCUACGUGUGUGAAGUCUGCCAGUCCGCAUUGGACCAGCGUGGUGGACUAUUGGCCUAACCCCUCUCAUUCUGAGAGGAGACUUGUGCUCAACAGUGAGCCAAAAAUGGGUUGCUAACAAAGACUGCCUAUACUGAGGACUGUAUUACAAACUUGGGUUAAAGAAGGAAUUUUAAAUUUUAUACAAUUUGUGCUUUUAUCGCCUACCAUAUUUAGAAAUUUUGUGCACACCACUGCACGUACCUAAUAUAUACUGUAGCUCGUUAGCUAAGCAGCUUUGACCAUAAAGUCCUGGGUUCAAGUCUUGAAUCGAGCUAUGCAAUACUGAGCUUUUCUUAUUUCUAAUAAUUCUUAGUUGCAGGUUGGAGCUAUGACGUCAGUGCUAAAACCCGAAGCACGAAUGGGUUUAAUCGUCUUGGUUACUAACAAGUAUAAUUAACAUCUGAUAGUGAUCGUUAUACAGAUUCUAAGCAUUAUCAUUUUUUGCCCGCCAACCGGCAAUGAAGCAGCAUGUUGAGUCUACGCUCCCAAUCUUUUCUUCCUACACGUAGAGAAGGUUAACCCUGUAGAAGACCAAUUAAAAUAGACUUCAUUUUCAAACCAAACUAACUUUAAUUAAAUCGCCCUCAGAUUCUGUUAUCUCUAACUCAGUUAUAUCUCCAAAUCACCCUACAAAUGCAAAAAAUUACUAAUUUCGUCUUACGCAU
Bicyclus anynana (squinting bush brown) is the source of this 1521-nucleotide long non-coding RNA. RefSeq lists it as uncharacterized. The record is from RefSeq and is a predicted model, not a curated record. The transcript is spliced from 3 exons. Lineage: Eukaryota; Metazoa; Arthropoda; Insecta; Lepidoptera; Nymphalidae.